CCUACGGGCGGCAGCAGUGGGGAAUAUUGGACAAUGGGGGGAACCCUGAUCCAGCCAUGCCGCGUGUGUGAAGAAGGCCCUCGGGUUGUAAAGCACUUUCAGUGAGGAAGAACGCCUGGUGGUUAAUACCCAUCAGGAAAGACAUCACUCACAGAAGAAGCACCGGCUAACUCCGUGCCAGCAGCCGCGGUAAUACGGAGGGUGCGAGCGUUAAUCGGAAUUACUGGGCGUAAAGCGCGCGUAGGUGGCUUGAUAAGCCGGUUGUGAAAGCCCCGGGCUCAACCUGGGAACGGCAUCCGGAACUGUCAAGCUAGAGUGCAGGAGAGGAAGGUAGAAUUCCCGGUGUAGCGGUGAAAUGCAUAGAGAUCGGGAGGAAUACCAGUGGCGAAGGCGGCCUUCUGGACUGACACUGACACUGAGGUGCGAAAGCGUGGGUAGCAAACAGGAUUAGAUACCCCAGUAGUC
This 465-nucleotide ribosomal RNA is filed under the name Vreelandella stevensii. RNAcentral describes it as "partial 16S ribosomal RNA". It matches the Rfam family "Bacterial small subunit ribosomal RNA", at positions 338 to 795 of the family's 1533-position model. Lineage: Bacteria; Pseudomonadati; Pseudomonadota; Gammaproteobacteria; Oceanospirillales; Halomonadaceae. The record is from RNAcentral.